This 317-nucleotide ribosomal RNA is filed under the name uncultured Esquamula. RNAcentral's name for it is "partial large subunit ribosomal RNA". It matches the Rfam family "Eukaryotic large subunit ribosomal RNA", at positions 40 to 350 of the family's 3401-position model. Lineage: Eukaryota; Cercozoa; Imbricatea; Thaumatomonadida. The record is from RNAcentral.
AUAUUACUAAGCGGAGGAAAAGAAACAAACAUGGAUUCCCCCAGUAACGGCGAGUGAAGCGGGAAGAGCUCAAACUGGAAAUCGGUAAGCCCCAAGGCUUGUCGAAUUGUAGUCUAAAGAGGUGCGUUCAGUGCGCGUCCUGGGUAUAACUCCUUUGGAACAGGGGAUCAAAGAGGGUGAGAAUCCCGUAUUUGACUCAGAGCACGCCACGUACGAUGCGCUUUCAACGAGUCGAGUUGUUUGGGACUGCAACUCUAAAUGGGUGGUAAACUUCAUCUAAAGCUAAAUAUUGGCGAGAGACCGAUAGCGCACAAGUA